Molecule: long non-coding RNA, 180 nt
Organism: Lacerta agilis (Sand lizard)
Lineage: Eukaryota; Metazoa; Chordata; Lepidosauria; Squamata; Lacertidae
Exons: 3
Source: RefSeq, a predicted model, not a curated record
ACCUGGCAAUGGAUGUGACAUUCAGCACUGCCCAGGUUUCUGCCACUUGAAGGAGGCAAAGUGGUGAAUGGAAGGAGGCAAUCCUCUGGCACUGGAAGAAGUCUGAGCAGUUGGCAUUUUGAAAGGGAAGAGGAUAACUUGCUCAGUACUGAAUGAUGAGGAGCCACUGCGAUGGCAGAC